This 1253-nucleotide long non-coding RNA is filed under the name Felis catus (domestic cat). RNAcentral's name for it is "lncRNA (ENSFCAG00000040808.2)". Lineage: Eukaryota; Metazoa; Chordata; Mammalia; Carnivora; Felidae. The record is from RNAcentral.
CUCAACAGUAUUUUCUCUAUGGGAUAGUCUUACAAAAUAAUUGCAAGAUAUAUUGGUCUUCUCAAAAUAAAAAAAACAUUAUUAAACAAUGUUUUCAAAGCAUUUAUCUAGGAUUAAUACUAUUCGCUUCAUUUAAAUACUUCUGGGCUUAACACUAUAUUUUAAUCCGAUAGUGAGAAAGUAGAUUGAUAUAACCUUAUAUAAUACCACACUGCAAGAAAAAAAGAGGCUUUUCUUAAUUUAAAAUUGGUAACAUCCAAAAAGUAAUUAAGGAAACAAGAGCGUCUACUGCUUAAAACACAAGGUUGAGAAAAAAACUUAACAGUACAACAGUAAUAACGACAGCAACAUCUCGCACGUCCUUUUCCGGACCUCCGUCUCACCCACCCUGCUCCCUCUGCCUGAGACCACCUUCUCACCCCGCAGGCUCCUGGGCACAACUCAGCUGCGGGGGGGCUUCUUCCGGAACACGCUGGGCGGCGCCACGCCCAUCCGACUGCCCUUCCGUCGUCCGGGAGGCGGGGGGCGGGGAUUAUUACUGCCAGCACCGGGUGAAGUACACGUGGGACGUCGUCAAAGCCCCUCCGAGGCCCCGACCCCUGACGCGCACCUUCCGGGCAGCCCCGCCCCCACGUGCCUCCCUGCCGCGCAGCUGCGGUGGGCGCCUUCCUUCCUUCACGUUCGCACACUCCUUUCACCUGCCGAGGAAAGGAAAGAGCCCCACGACGUUUAGAGGUAUCUCCUCACCUCCUGAGACGAAAGAGGACUAUGGGAGAGGAGCGGGACGGAGGCACUUCAGGGACACUGCCUCUGGAGGCGACAGUGGUAAGGGUCUCCGCGGCAGAGCCCUUGCCCAGACCAGCAGCAGUGCAGACGCAGACCGUGGUGAAUUUGGUGAAUUGUGCUGUGUGACAGUGAUAUGGGGCUUGGAGCUGUGUGGUGUCUUCUGCAGGUAUGACUCCUGGUGAUACAGUCUUCAGGGCCUGCUGUGGGCCUUCCCAGAGGUUAUGUGGCCUAUCUGUAAUUACUUCCGAGAUUACUUUUCUGUGUUGCUGGCAACAAAGAACAAUGGCAGAUACAUCCACCUGGCCCACUCCAUUCACUGGCAGCAACCGAUAAUCCAAUGUAUCAAUACGAAUUUAAAAAUUGACUAGGAGGCAUAGGGAAUGGAGAAGGAUCCGAUUUUAAUGGUUGCUUGCAACACAAAGAAAUGAAUAAGAUCCCAGAUUUCUUAAUCAAAUACUUUAUUUGUG